Brassica napus (rape) is the source of this 2080-nucleotide long non-coding RNA. RefSeq lists it as uncharacterized. The transcript has 2 exons. NCBI's taxonomy places the organism in Eukaryota, Viridiplantae, Streptophyta, Magnoliopsida, Brassicales, Brassicaceae. The record is from RefSeq and is a predicted model, not a curated record.
GGACUAUAUAGUUUGGUAAUAAUUUGGUAAUGUGCAUUACGUUUCUCAAGACCACUUAAUCGGUUAAAAGAAAAAAAAAAGUAAGUUCAGUUUUUGAGACAGGCUGGUAUUUAUUUCCGACUUGAUUUUGUUGUUGUUUUUAUAAAAAAAAAUUGAUUUUGUCAAGAACAAUCAAAACUGAAAAGAAGUCAUGAUUUUGUCAGAACGUAUUGUUUUUGAAAACUAACUGGAUACAUAGUAGUUGAGUGAAGUUUCUCAAAAUCGUGAUAUAAAUUAAAUCUAUUAUAUCAGAAUUUCUGACAUCUUAUAAUACUCAUUCUAAAUUUUAAAAAACGAUUGUGACAAGUGUGCAGAGAUAUAAAAUUGUAAAUGAUGCGAAUGAAUAACCAGCAUGUAUAUAUAAAUAUCAGUAAUAUAAAACGUCCGAGAAAAGACGUGUGGAGUGUGAACUUAGAAUUAGUCUUAGAUGGACAUUUGAACCAAGUGACUUUAAUGCUUUUGUUGAUGAAAUUGAUUACGCAGAAUAUGAGAGGAAUAUAGACAUGAGUUUUGUAAAUUGACAAAGUAAUAUCAAUUUACUAGGUACAUAAACUAUUAUCCUGACCACUGAAAAGUGUGGUAUUUAAGAUUACUGAACAGUAAUGUGAAAACGAAGAACGUAAUAACAUUCCUUUCCAACAUGGAAAAAGACAGUGCUUUGUGGUGGUACCAAGUGUUUUUCUUUAUAAGCGUAAAUUAAAUAAGUUUUUUUUUUUUUAUCUCAACAGGUUAAUCUCACUGUAGAUAAAUAUCUGGUUGUCAAAAAAUGCUUUAGACCAUAUUUCUGGUAUUAUAGGAUGCACGUUUUUUUUUUCUAAAAAUAAUGCAAGUUCCAGGCCAGAAAGAAGAAUCAAUACUAUUAAAACAGAAGGCCCUUUUUUGAGGUAACCUUCUGUUUCAACAAUAUUUACAGAACUAUACCACUGCUUUAUUUAAAACCUAUACUUUUAAUUAUAUAGAAAUAUUCAACUAAAUAUCUUUUAAUCUAAAAAUUAUACCGGAGGAUGCCUUAUAUAUAUAUUAAUAUUAUAUCAGAAUUUGCAGGUGUACUAACAAGUGCAUCUUUUUUUUAUUUAGUUUCUUUUCUUUUACUUUCAACGUAGUGAAUAUAGUUGGAGGAAUUAGAUUUCUUUCCAGUUUUUAGAUUCGAUGAAGGAGCUUUGUUGAUUCCCAAAACUUUAAAAAAAUUCUCAUGAGUUCUUCCAUUCUUUUUUUUCGUCCAUUGUUCUACCAAUUAGUUAAAAAAGAGUCUCUUUGCUCUCUUAGCAACAAGAUUGAGAAAUAGGGAAACUUUGCUCUUCACCUUCUUCUCUUUUCUCUCUGUGACUUCUUUUUGCUGAUUCAUCUUUCUUUUUCUCACUGAUUAAGCUCUCAAGUCUCAGGUCUGUGUAUGCUCUUUCUUCUAGACACAUUUUUUGGGUUUCCACCUGAUUUACAUUGCUAGGAAAACAAAUGCAGACAUAUAAAAGUUUAAGAGCAAUUCUAUCUGAGUCAAUCACCGGCAGACGAACUCGUGUUGCCUAGCAUAUCAAAAGCUAUUCGAUCUAUUCUAUGUUCCAAUCAGCGUUGUUAUUCAGUUGUUAUUUCCUUGUGUGGUUUACGGUGUUCUUUCACUGUUAAGGUUUGUCUUGAUUUAUGUCCUGUCAUAGAAAGUUUUUUGUUGUGAAUUUCGUGUAAGGAGCUUUUGAAAGAAACAAUGCCCAAACAUAAGGCUGUAUUGAUCUGGUAUUUUAUUUCCUCAGAGGAGUGUUCGUCUCUGAUUGAUGGAGUUGAUGUGUUUGUAAAUUUUAAGGUGAGAAGUUAGUGCUGGAAAGAAACAUCACUUCCUCUGCAUUGUUUCCUUCUCAAAACAGUUAAGUGUUUCAGGUAAUGCACCAACAAAAGGAAAAUUAGCUCCAGUGAUUCUGCCGAGAUUUAUGUCAAUACUUAAACAUAUUUUGUAUAUAUAUGUCGAAUAAUCCUCAUCAUUAAUAUUUUUAAAUCGAUGAUUCUGUACAGCUAUUGUAAUAUUUAUUGUUAAAAAAAUAUAUUGAGAUCUUAA